AUCUCUGAAGCCUGGAAGGAUUUUUCAAAUCGGAGAACUCUAAAUGUCUUGGAAGGAAAAGCGGGUGCUCUCAAAGUAAUGCCAUUCUUUUUAAGUUGUAUGGUGACAUUCAGAUUAGGCAUAUUUUACGCUGGUUCUGACAGACAGCUGUUUUGAUUUAUGACUGUAGCUCACUGCCAAUCCCAGGCCAUUCAAUUGCCCUGUGGAACACCACCUCUUUUGUGUUUCAAGUUUGGGGCAAUUUGGAUGCUAUCCAAAUGGCCCGUUUUGGUCAUUUCUGAAGGUCUUUCCACAGUUUCAUUCCUUAGCUUUAGAAUGUGGAUCACAACACUGAGUUUGCUUUUCUUCUUGACACCCUUGACUGUUACUGCACAGAGACCAUAGAAUCUACCAGCUCUAAGACCACAGAAUCCAUACAGCAAUGGUUUUGUGAGAAAAUGAAGGUCCAAAAUGCUGAAUUUCAAAGUGAUGAAGGACAUUGAUGCUUAACAAAACACAGCUUUGACCUGAUCAUAAUGUUAACGGUGUGAAGAUCAAGGAGAGAAGAAAGGCCAGAAGGUAUGCAGCAAGUCCAUCCAACAAACAAAUAAGAAGUUGUACAAGCCCGCAAGGGACAUGGACAUCGUGAAGAAGGUGUAUAAAAUCUUACGGGAGGACCUGCAGGAACGGAAUGGAAGAGAUUAAAGGAUCUGCAAGUAUUCCAGAUAACGAGCAAGAGACCAGAGCAGAGACCACAGGAGGAGGAGAAGUUUGUAAAAAGCUGCUUGCAGGAGAG
RNAcentral lists this long non-coding RNA (775 nucleotides) under Columba livia (rock pigeon). RNAcentral's name for it is "partial uncharacterized LOC106145728". The record is from RNAcentral. Lineage: Eukaryota; Metazoa; Chordata; Aves; Columbiformes; Columbidae.